UGGGGAAUAUUGCGCAAUGGGCGAAAGCCUGACGCAGCGACGCCGCGUGAGGGAUGAAGGCCUUCGGGUUGUAAACCUCUUUCAGCAGGGACGAAGCGAAAGUGACGGUACCUGCAGAAGAAGCACCGGCCAACUACGUGCCAGCAGCCGCGGUAAUACGUAGGGUGCAAGCGUUGUCCGGAAUUAUUGGGCGUAAAGAGCUCGUAGGCGGUUUGUCGCGUCGGCUGUGAAAACUCGGGGCUCAACCCCGAGCCUGCAGUCGAUACGGGCAGACUAGAGUGCUGUAGGGGAGACUGGAAUUCCUGGUGUAGCGGUGAAAUGCGCAGAUAUCAGGAGGAACACCGGUGGCGAAGGCGGGUCUCUGGGCAGUAACUGACGCUGAGGAGCGAAAGCGUGGGGAGCGAACA
Molecule: ribosomal RNA, 407 nt
Filed under: uncultured Rhodococcus sp.
Lineage: Bacteria; Bacillati; Actinomycetota; Actinomycetes; Mycobacteriales; Nocardiaceae
Description: bacterial SSU rRNA
Rfam family: Bacterial small subunit ribosomal RNA
Source: RNAcentral